AGAGUUUGAUCAUGGCUCAGAACGAACGCUGGCGGCGUGCCUUAUACAUGCAAGUCGAGCGGAGGUCGGUUCUUUCCCGGAUUACCUUUUAGGUUAUUUCGGGUUAGAACUGAUCUCAGCGGCGGACGGGUGAGUAACACGUGGGUAAUCUACCCCUGAGACCGGGAUAACACCUCGAAAGGGGUGCUAAUACCGGAUAACGUCAUCUUACCCAGGUAAGAUGACCAAAGGUUGCGAAAGCUUCCGCUCAGGGAUGAGCCCGCGCCCUAUCAGCUGGUUGGUGGGGUAAUGGCCCACCAAGGCUAUGACGGGUAGCCGGCCUGAGAGGGUGACCGGCCACGCUGGGACUGAGACACGGCCCAGACUCCUACGGGAGGCAGCAGUAGGGAAUCUUGGGCAAUGGGCGAAAGCCUGACCCAGCGACGCCGCGUGGGGGAUGAAGGCCUUCGGGUUGUAAACCCCUGUCAGGAGGGACGAUGCCUGCCCUUGGCAGGUGACGGUACCUCCAGAGGAAGCCCCGGCCAACUACGUGCCAGCAGCCGCGGUAAUACGUAGGGGGCGAGCGUUGUUCGGAAUCACUGGGCGUAAAGCGUGCGUAGGCGGCUACGCAAGUCACAGGUGAAAGCCCUGCUUCCAAGGUAGGAAUUGCCUGUGAUACUGCGUGGCUAGAGGACAGGAGAGGGAGGCGGAACUCUGGGAGUAGCGGUGAAAUGCGUAGAUACCCAGGGGAACGCCAGUGGCGAAGGCGGCCUCCUAGCCUGUUCCUGACGCUGAGGCACGAAAGCUAGGGGAGCGAUCGGGAUUAGAUACCCCGGCAGUCCUAGCCGUAAACGAUGGGUACUAGGUGGUGGGGGGAGCAUUACCCCUCCGUGCCGAAGCUAACGCGUUAAGUACCCCGCCCUGGGGAGUACGGUCGCAAGGCUGAAACUCAAAAGAAUUGACGGGGGGCUGAACAAGCAGCGGAGCGCGUGGUUCAAUUCGAUGCAAAGCGAAGAACCUUACCAGGGCUUGACAUGCUGGUAGUAGCGGCCCGAAAGGGCUUGCGAUCCUGGCUUCGGCCAGGAAGCCAGCACAGGUGGUGCAUGGCUGUCGUCAGCUCGUGCCGUGAGGUGUUGGGUUAAGUCCCUUAACGAGCGCAACCCCUGCCCUUAGUUGCCAGCGGGUAAUGCCGGGCACUCUAAGGGGACUGCCGCCUUAAAGCGGAGGAAGGAGGGGAUGACGUCAAGUCAUCACGCCCCUUAUGCCCUGGGCUACACACGCGCUACAAUGGCUGGGACAACGGGAUGCGACCCCGCGAGGGGAAGCAAAUCCCUAAAAACCAGCCUCAGUUCGGAUUGCAGGCUGCAACUCGCCUGCAUGAAGCCGGAAUUGCUAGUAAUCGCGGAUCAGCCACGCCGCGGUGAAUACGUUCUCAGCCCUUGUACACACCGCCCGUCACACCACCCGAGUUGAGUGCACCCGAAGACAUCCAACUAACCGACCUCUGGUCGGAGGGAGGAUGUUGAAGGUGUGCUUGGCAAGGGGGAUGAAGUCGUAACAAGGUA
This 1544-nucleotide ribosomal RNA is filed under the name uncultured bacterium. Its description in RNAcentral is "bacterial SSU rRNA". It matches the Rfam family "Bacterial small subunit ribosomal RNA". The record is from RNAcentral.